This 253-nucleotide ribosomal RNA is filed under the name uncultured bacterium. RNAcentral's name for it is "partial 16S ribosomal RNA". It matches the Rfam family "Bacterial small subunit ribosomal RNA", at positions 524 to 776 of the family's 1533-position model. The record is from RNAcentral.
GACAGAGGGUGCAAACGUUGUUCGGAAUUACUGGGCGUAAAGGGCGCGUAGGCGGAAUGGCAAGUCGGUCGUGAAAUCCUUCGGCUCAACCGAAGAACGUCGAUCGAAACUGCCGUUCUUGAGGAUUGCAGAGGAGACUGGAAUUCCCGGUGUAGCGGUGAAAUGCGCAGAUAUCAGGAGGAACACCGGUGGCGAAGGCGGGUCUCUGGGCCGAUACUGACGCUGAGGAGCGAAAGCGUGGGGAGCGAACAGG